Molecule: ribosomal RNA, 373 nt
Filed under: uncultured organism
Description: partial 16S ribosomal RNA
Rfam family: Bacterial small subunit ribosomal RNA
Source: RNAcentral
GUAGGUGGCAAGCGUUGUCCGGAAUUAUUGGGCGUAAAGCGCGCGCAGGCGGUUCUUUAAGUCUGAUGUGAAAGCCCACGGCUCAACCGUGGAGGGUCAUUGGAAACUGGAGAACUUGAGUACAGAAGAGGAAAGCGGAAUUCCACGUGUAGCGGUGAAAUGCGUAGGGAUGUGGAGGAACACCAGUGGCGAAGGCGGCUUUCUAGUCUGUAACUGACGCUGAGGCGCGAAAGCGUGGGGAGCAAACAGGGAUUAGAUACCCUGGUAGUCCACGCCGUAAACGAUGAGUGCUAAGUGUUAGGGGGUUUCCCGCCCCUUAGUGCUGCAGCUAACGCAUUAAGCACUCCGCCUGGGGAGUACGGCCGCAAGGCUG